RNAcentral lists this long non-coding RNA (1154 nucleotides) under Nicotiana benthamiana. RNAcentral describes it as "long non-coding RNA (NBEN_LNC009848)". The record is from RNAcentral. Lineage: Eukaryota; Viridiplantae; Streptophyta; Magnoliopsida; Solanales; Solanaceae.
GUUUAGUAGGUACAAUAUUGAUGUUCUUAAGCUACUCGUUUGUAUCUUUUGUUUAUUAAGUAAUAUAUACAGCUUGAGGUCUAUUUCAUACCCUAUUUUUGAAUUUUCAUUCGGUGUUCGGUUAUCAUAUUAGAGUUCCGUUAUCAAAUUACAAGGAGGUCUAUGUCAAACAUUUCACCACUAAGUUGAUUGUAAUUUAUUGCAUCUUCACUAAUUUUGGUGAUACUUUCUAUUUUCUUUUUCUUUUUUAAUGUAAUUUGCGCCUUAAGGAGACGCAAAUUCAUUUGCAUUGAUACUUUCUAUUUGUUCUGCACGACAUGAAAUCUUAAUAUCAUUAAUUAGUCAUGAGUGUAAUUAUUCAUAUUCCUUAUUAGUAAGAUGCAUCAUCAACCUUAAAAAGUAAUUAAGCCUGAAUAAUCAAAUAGCUGCUUUAUCAUUGUUGUGGAGCCACAUAAUUUACUUUACUUCGAUAUUAAGAUUCCUUUGCGGGACGCAAAUCUGAAUUAAUUACACAAUUAUAUUUAAAUUGCCCUGGGAAGGAGAUGAAGAAAGGGGAUGGGAAUUAACUCACAUAAAUUUUAUUCAAAAUUACAUAAAAUUGAAUAUAAAACCACGAAACUUCUUUUUUUUUUUUUUUGGGUCAACUAGAACACAUUGUUCAAUAUGUAAACGUUCUGCAAGGUUUCUCUAUCACUUACAAAAUACAAAACAAAAGGGAAAAAACAAAGGUGAAAUUAACUUGACCUCCCAAAGAUUUCUUUUUCCUCGAAAAUCAAAACAAAGCUUAGAUAUUGAAAUAAAUAAAAUAAAGUAGUUCAACGAAGUGUUGAAUAUAAAAAAUGAAGCCAAGCAUCAGACUUGCCUAAGAUUUGCAUUUGUUCAGUUCAUCCUCUUUCCCUUCUUGUUCUUGUUUUUGUUUUUGCUUCUUUCUUUUCCACUCCUAUGAAAACAAGUAUAAUUAUCACCUCGUAACAUUAUUGCCAUUUUAUUUCUUGAAAUCCCCCAAAUAAAGAAGGGAGGAAAAAGAAAGAAAUAUUAAAAAUGAAGAAGAAUAAAGGAAGAUAAGAAGAAGAAGAGGAGUAGGAGGUAAGUGUUAGGAAGAAAAAUGGUGGAAUAUUUAUAAGGGAAAUGGAUAAAAACUUAGUUCAAAGGUA